This 124-nucleotide ribosomal RNA is filed under the name uncultured bacterium. RNAcentral describes it as "partial 16S ribosomal RNA". The record is from RNAcentral.
GCCGGGGUUUCUUUACCAGGUACUGUCAUUAUCAUCCCUGGCGAAAGAGCUUUACGACCCUAAGGCCUUCAUCACCCACGCGGCAUGGCUAGAUCAGGCUUGCGCCCAUUGUCUAAGAUUCCCC